Non-coding RNA from Nothobranchius furzeri (turquoise killifish), 2192 nucleotides. Lineage: Eukaryota; Metazoa; Chordata; Actinopteri; Cyprinodontiformes; Nothobranchiidae. The record is from RefSeq and is a predicted model, not a curated record.
ACACUAAAAACAAGUGUGUCUGUGUGUGUGUGUGUGUGUGUGUGUGUGUGUGUGUGUGUGUGUGUGUGUGUGUGUGUGUGUGUGUGUGUGUGAUGUGAUGGAGGAAUGUGAGCUGUAAGCUGUGACUUUUCCUCUCUCAGAUGUAGACAAAAGAAUUAGCUUGCACUUAGUGACUUAAAAUUUCACAGUAACUUAACCUUAAUUCAGUUUCACAGUAAAACUUUAACCGUUUCACCAGUUGACAAAACAACAAAGAUCAACUUGAAUAUCUAAAAGCCUGUCCAGCCGGGCCCAGCUUAAACAAACACAGAUAUCACAAUAAUAAACAAACAGACCGUACUUGGAGUUCUGAUGGCGGUUUUGGUACGAAAGAGAAAAAAAAACGUCUGAUAAUUUCAAGCAAUAGCACGGUGUAAUUGCUUAUUCUGAACUAUAAAGGAAAUGGGAUAAGAUAGAGAGAGAGAGAAAGAGGCGAGUUACUCAUCACCAGAACAGCGAGGCGUCCCUCACUGUUUGAUUUGACGGUUCUCCGUUGAUUUGACGGUCCUCCGCUGUUUUCCAGCCAGGUUCUGUACUCACAUGUCCGGAGUCAUAUGUGAACGUUUCCUCAUACAUUGGCUAGAGAUCAGCACCAGGAGAGCAGGCCUGAUGGGCUUGUGUGGUUUGGCUUUUCAGCGGUUCCGUGAGCUCCACUUCGGCACUUAGACCUCCCGCGUGCUGGCGUUGAUCGGAGCGACCGCAGCAAAACGUCUUCAAGCCAGUCGACUCUGGGCAAAAGACAAAGAACAACUUCGCUUCGCUAUAAUUUAUAGCUUUUUCGGCUGGCGGGAAAACUUGCACAUGCGCAGAACUCGUGCUCUCGGCUCCGCUUUGGUGACGUCAUCACACUGCUUCCGUGUGCAAAGCAUCAUGGGAAAUGAAGUGUCUCUUGGCCGCUGGAACUUAUUAUCUGCUUUUUCAGAGCAAUUUAGCACAGUCUUUUGGAGAAAAUUACUGCAGCAAUUUCUCACGAGGGCAGACCCUCAACAUCUGCAUUAUCAUUAAAGAGCAAGUAACGUCUAAAUUAACUUUUUUUUGCUGAUGAACUGUAUAAAUGAGUGUCUAAUAGUGUUUUAAAUGUGUGCAUUCUUUAUUUUAGCAUUUUGGUGCAUUUUCUUUAAAAAUUAAAAAUUCUGUCUAAAAACCACAGUAAUGUGCCACCUUCAGCUGAAAACAUAGAAUUUGAGUCAUUCUGAAUAAAUUUUAGCCAAUGGCUAAAGAGUAAAGUACUACGUAAACCAGUAGAGUACUACGUAGCAGCUCCGUGCCAAAGUUAUAAAAGCAACGAGCGUCUCGGCCACGCCCUGUGGCGAGUGGGAGUUGGAUUUGCAAGUGAGUGUAGGAGGUCAGCGGUAGUUCAGCAUUAGCAUAUAGCAUUAGCAUAUCCUAGUCUUAGCAUAUCUUUUAGUGUUAUAAAUACUUAUUUAGUGUUAGAUUUGGCUGUUUGAUAUUGUAGUUUAGUUAGUGUUUGGCUGUUAGUGUAAUUGGGAAAGUAUUUCGGGUUUAGUGCUCCAUUUCGUCUUAGUAUUCGUGAGUAGGUGUAGUGUAGUAUGCUUGCGGUGACUCUGUGGGCAUUUUACCCGCGAUUCUGCACGUCUCCGUUUGAAGAGGGAGGCUGCCCACCGUGGCUCUUCCGCGAUUUAGAUGCAGCCCACCGACUCUGCUCCCCCACCACGGUGGGCUCCAGUCUGAGGCUAAAUCUACCCAAGACACUGGCUGUCAGACUGAUUUAGCUGCAAGAAUGCACUUGUCCAGGCUGACGUGAAACCUUCCCUGUAGCAAAGCCAGCCAGAAUGGAGUUCACAGCCGCAGUGUGUCUGGUGACCCACGGGGACCAUGACGGAAAUUCAUCUUCCAGAAGGUCCCAGAGCAGCGUCCACACCCCCUGAAAAGACCAAGGUGUGAGGUGUCUGCUGUUGAUUCCAGCUUCCACCUCAGUGACGGUGCAAGCUCAGUGAACUGUUCAAGCCUGGCUGAUCACCUGAUAACUCCUGCCAUCUGGUUAUGACAGCAUGAGGAUGUCCUCACACACCUGUAACCUAUCAGCUCAUCUGGCAGAAUAGAGAGAGAAGAGACAACACCACAUCUCCUGUUCCUGGAAAGCCUUCAGCCAUCCUUCGAUGACUGAGAACCUCCAUCAGCUUUGUCUCCUG